RNAcentral lists this transfer RNA (71 nucleotides) under Candidatus Nanopusillus sp. Its description in RNAcentral is "tRNA-Pro". It matches the Rfam family "tRNA". Rfam says of the family: Transfer RNA (tRNA) molecules are approximately 80 nucleotides in length. Their secondary structure includes four short double-helical elements and three loops (D, anti-codon, and T loops). Lineage: Archaea; Nanobdellati; Nanobdellota; Candidatus Nanoarchaeia; Nanoarchaeales; Nanopusillaceae. The record is from RNAcentral.
GGGCCCGUAGGCUAGCGGAAGGCUUCCGGGUUUGGGUCCCGGAGAGCGGGGUUCGAAUCCCCGCGGGCCCA